Pimephales promelas (fathead minnow) is the source of this 162-nucleotide non-coding RNA. The record is from RefSeq and is a predicted model, not a curated record. NCBI's taxonomy places the organism in Eukaryota, Metazoa, Chordata, Actinopteri, Cypriniformes, Leuciscidae.
AGAGAGCGCGAGAGAGAGAGAGAGAGAGAGAGAGAGAGAGAGAGAGAGAGAGAGAGAGAGGAGCAUUACGGUCAGAUUCUGGGCUUCAGGGCAGAGGCUCAUUGGAGCUUUUAAAAGAGCUUUUAAGUGGGUAUUCAGGAUCAGGUUCCCCUCAUUCACAAA